RNAcentral lists this ribosomal RNA (253 nucleotides) under uncultured bacterium. RNAcentral describes it as "partial 16S ribosomal RNA". It matches the Rfam family "Bacterial small subunit ribosomal RNA", at positions 524 to 776 of the family's 1533-position model. The record is from RNAcentral.
UACGGAGGGGGUUAGCGUUGUUCGGAAUGACUGGGCGUAAAGCGCGCGUAGGCGGAUCGCAAAGUUGGGGGUGAAAGCCCAGGGCUCAACCCUGGAAUUGCCUUCAAGACUCGCGGUCUGGAGUUCGAGAGAGGUGGGUGGAAUUCCGAGUGUAGAGGUGAAAUUCGUAGAUAUUCGGAGGAACACCAGUGGCGAAGGCGGCUCACUGGCUCGACACUGACGCUGAGGUGCGAAAGCGUGGGGAGCAAACAGG